UAAACAUAUCGAACCUGUGACAUC
Molecule: non-coding RNA, 24 nt
Filed under: Arabidopsis thaliana (thale cress)
Lineage: Eukaryota; Viridiplantae; Streptophyta; Magnoliopsida; Brassicales; Brassicaceae
Source: RNAcentral